GACGAACGCUGGCGGCGUGCUUAACACAUGCAAGUCGGACGGAAAGGCCCUGCUUUUGUGGGUUUCUCGAGUGGCGAACGGGUGAGUAACACGUGAGUAACCUCCCCUUGACUUUGGGAUAUCUUCAGGAAACUGGGGCUAUUACCGGUUAUGAGCUCUUGCUCCAUGUUGGGGGUUGGAAAGUUUCGGCGGUUGGGGAUCGACUCGCGGGUUAUCAGCUUCUUGGUGUGGUAGUGGCUUACCAAGGCUUUGACGGGUAGCCGGCAUGGGAGGGUUACCGGCGACAUGGGGACUGAGAGACGGCGCAGACGCCUACGGGAGGCAGCAGGGGGGAAUAUGGCAGAAUGGGCGGAAGCCUGAUGCGGCAACGCCGCGUGCGGGAUGACGGCCUUCGGGUUAUGAACAGCUUUCGCCUGUGACGAAGAGUGAGUGACGGUAAUGGGUAAAGAAGCACCGGCUAACUACGUG
Molecule: ribosomal RNA, 468 nt
Filed under: uncultured bacterium
Lineage: Bacteria
Description: partial 16S ribosomal RNA
Rfam family: Bacterial small subunit ribosomal RNA
Source: RNAcentral